CACUCCUACGGGAGGCAGCAGUGGGGAAUAUUGGACAAUGGGCGCAAGCCUGAUCCAGCCAUGCCGCGUGAGUGAUGAAGGCCCUAGGGUUGUAAAGCUCUUUCACCGGUGAAGAUAAUGACGGUAACCGGAGAAGAAGCCCCGGCUAACUUCGUGCCAGCAGCCGCGGUAAUACGAAGGGGGCUAGCGUUGUUCGGAUUUACUGGGCGUAAAGCGCACGUAGGCGGACUAUUAAGUCAGGGGUGAAAUCCCGGGGCUCAACCCCGGAACUGCCUUUGAUACUGGUAGUCUUGAGUUCGAGAGAGGUGAGUGGAAUUCCGAGUGUAGAGGUGAAAUUCGUAGAUAUUCGGAGGAACACCAGUGGCGAAGGCGGCUCACUGGCUCGAUACUGACGCUGAGGUGCGAAAGCGUGGGGAGCAAACAGGAUUAGAAACCCGAGUAGUCCCAUGAU
This 451-nucleotide ribosomal RNA is filed under the name uncultured organism. RNAcentral describes it as "partial 16S ribosomal RNA". It matches the Rfam family "Bacterial small subunit ribosomal RNA", at positions 334 to 801 of the family's 1533-position model. The record is from RNAcentral.